GUUACAUUGUAUGCAGCCAAACUAGGUGGAAGGCAGUAGAACAGAAAACAAUCUCCAUUGUGUACAUAUGCAAUAACUCAUAUAUUGAAGCGGAAAACAACGGCCCUUUCGUUUAUUCUCAAUGUAUUGUCUUACUGAUCUCUUUUGUUAAAUAAAUUUAUUUUUUCAUCUACAACUGCAAAAGGCGCAACAGAUGUGUUAAAAUCAGCAAUGUGACUUAUUUGAAGAUUCAUGUGACCUUUGUUGUUGUUUAGAUGUUUUAUUCGAAGUUCGUAUAUAUCCCUUCAACCAUUUAUUUAGAUGGUUUUUUAACGUAUAGAUAGUGCGAAACUCUCACUGCACUAUGCAUCGGAUAUACGACAUUUUUAUUUCGACUAAACAAGGCUGCAAAUUUAUACAUCCGAGCAGCUAAACGGCCGCAGUUCAAGGCAGGUUCCAUUACAUAUAAUUAACAUUCAUAAUCAUGUCAUAUAGCUGUAUUUUAUUCCAGUAGAAAGAAUUUUGUUAAUAACCAUUAAUUUAUGAUCAUGAUGGCAAAUAAUAAAAGUGAU
This 551-nucleotide long non-coding RNA is filed under the name Mytilus galloprovincialis (Mediterranean mussel). Lineage: Eukaryota; Metazoa; Mollusca; Bivalvia; Mytilida; Mytilidae. The record is from RNAcentral.